AGAGUUUGAUCCUGGCUCAGGAUGAACGCUAGCGGCAGGCCUAACACAUGCAAGUCGAGGGGUAACAGGGAGUGCUUGCACUUUGCUGACGACCGGCGCACGGGUGCGUAACGCGUAUACAAUCUACCUUGUACUAGGGAAUAGCCCAGAGAAAUUUGGAUUAAUGCUCUAUGGUCUAUUUUUGUGGCAUCACAGAGAUAGUAAAGGUUACGGUACAAGAUGAGUAUGCGUCCUAUUAGUUAGUUGGUGUGGUAACGGCACACCAAGGCUACGAUAGGUAGGGGCCCUGAGAGGGGGACCCCCCACACUGGUACUGAGACACGGACCAGACUCCUACGGGAGGCAGCAGUGAGGAAUAUUGGACAAUGGAGGCAACUCUGAACCAGCCAUGCCGCGUGCAGGAAGACUGCCCUAUGGGUUGUAAACUGCUUUUAUACAGGAAGAAACGCUCCCUCGAGUAGGGAGUUUGACGGUACUGUAAGAAUAAGGAUCGGCUAACUCCGUGCCAGCAGCCGCGGUAAUACGGAGGAUCCAAGCGUUAUCCGGAAUCAUUGGGUUUAAAGGGUCCGUAGGCGGGCAAUUAAGUCAGGGGUGAAAGUUUGCGGCUCAACCGUAAAAUUGCCUUUGAAACUGGUUGUCUUGAAUUACUGUGAAGUGGUUAGAAUAUGUAGUGUAGCGGUGAAAUGCAUAGAUAUUACAUAGAAUACCAAUUGCGAAGGCAGAUCACUAACAGUAUAUUGACGCUGAUGGACGAAAGCGUGGGGAGCGAACAGGAUUAGAUACCCUGGUAGUCCACGCCGUAAACGAUGGUCACUAGUUGUUGGGGUCUUGUACCUCAGUGAUUAAGAGAAAUUGAUAAGUGACCCACCUGGGGAGUACGAUCGCAAGAUUGAAACUCAAAGGAAUUGACGGG
Molecule: ribosomal RNA, 913 nt
Filed under: marine sediment metagenome
Description: bacterial SSU rRNA
Rfam family: Bacterial small subunit ribosomal RNA
Source: RNAcentral